This 253-nucleotide ribosomal RNA is filed under the name uncultured bacterium. Its description in RNAcentral is "partial 16S ribosomal RNA". It matches the Rfam family "Bacterial small subunit ribosomal RNA", at positions 524 to 776 of the family's 1533-position model. The record is from RNAcentral.
UACGGAGGGGGUUAGCGUUGUUCGGAAUUACUGGGCGUAAAGCGCGCGUAGGCGGAUUAGAAAGUUGGGGGUGAAAUCCCGGGGCUCAACCUCGGAACUGCCUCCAAAACUGCUAGUCUAGAGUUCGAGAGAGGUGAGAGGAAUUCCGAGUGUAGAGGUGAAAUUCGUAGAUAUUCGGAGGAACACCAGUGGCGAAGGCGGCUCACUGGCUCGAUACUGACGCUGAGGUGCGAAAGUGUGGGGAGCAAACAGG